AUGCUGCCGUCCUCGUGCCUCGGUGUGUCGUGUGUGGCGCCGGGCCUCCCCACGCCAGCCAGCACUCCUCCACCAAUCCCUGCCCCUGAGAUCCGCUGCCGCCACCACUGGCUCCUCGCUGUAGUGCCAGCAGCGGCACACCGCGACGGCGGUAACUCUCGAGAAGGGCGAGGCGGCGGAUGGGGCCGGGACAGUGGCGGGGUUCACUGUCGUGAUGAAGUUCGGCGGGUCGUCGCUGUCGUCGGCCGCACGGAUCCGGGAUGUGGCCGACCUCAUCCUCAGCUUCCCCGAGGAGGCGCCCAUCAUCAUCCUCUCCGCCAUGGGGAAGGCCACCAAUCGAUGAGCUCGCUGUCAUCAAGGAGCUUCAUCUUACGAUCAUUAGUGAGCCAAGAUUGGACAGCUCUAUUGUUUCAGCACGCCGCCGCCUUCCUCCGACGCGUCUGCAUCGUCUCCGGCGCCGACGCCGCCGUCACCAAGAACUACGACCUCGUCAUCGUCACGGCCGGGGCUAGGCAGAUCCCGGGUGAGAACAGGCUCAACCUGCUGCAGACGAACGUUCCCCUAUAUCGCAAGAUCGUGCCGUCUGUGGCCGAGCACUCCCUGGAGGCGCUUCUUCUCGUAGUCUCCACCCGUCGACGUGCUCACCUACGUCGCCUGGAGACUCUCCAGCUUCUCGGCCAGCCGCGUCAUCGGCUGCGGCACCAACCUCGACUCCUACCGCUUCAGGUUCCUUAUCGCCAAAGCACCUCGACGUCAACCAGCAGGACGUGCAGGAUGAUAACAGGUAUAGGCGGGGGUGCCCAUUUGAAUCUCAAGCGUGUAGAGAAAGCAGGGGUACUUUGUUCAGAAGAUUCCAACUAUGAUUGA
Molecule: ribosomal RNA, 867 nt
Filed under: Triticum aestivum (bread wheat)
Lineage: Eukaryota; Viridiplantae; Streptophyta; Magnoliopsida; Poales; Poaceae
Description: partial small subunit ribosomal RNA
Source: RNAcentral